Molecule: ribosomal RNA, 526 nt
Filed under: uncultured bacterium
Lineage: Bacteria
Description: bacterial SSU rRNA
Rfam family: Bacterial small subunit ribosomal RNA
Source: RNAcentral
GGCUCGAGGACGAACGGCUGGCGGCGUGCCUAAUACAUGCAAGUCGAACGGUCUUUCUAUGGAAGCUUGCUUCCACUGAGAAGAUAGUGGCGAACGGGUGAGUAACACGUGGGUAACCUGCCCAUAAGAGGGGGAUAACAUCCGGAAACGGGUGCUAAUACCGCAUAGUUUUCUUGAUCGCAUGAUCGGGAAAGGAAAGACGGCCUUUGUGCUGUCGCUUAUGGAUGGACCCGCGGCGUAUUAGUUAGUUGGUGAGGUAACGGCUCACCAAGACGAUGAUACGUAGCCGACCUGAGAGGGUGAUCGGCCACAUUGGGACUGAGACACGGCCCAAACUCCUACGGGAGGCAGCAGUAGGGAAUCUUCCGCAAUGGACGAAAGUCUGACGGAGCAACGCCGCGUGAGUGAAAGAAGGUUUUCGGAUCGUAAAACUCUGUUGUCAGAGAAGAACAAGUUGGAGAGUAACUGCUCCAGCCUUGACGGUAUCUGACCAGAAAGCCACGGCUAACUACGUGCCAGCCGCCGC